Molecule: long non-coding RNA, 485 nt
Organism: Panonychus citri (citrus red mite)
Lineage: Eukaryota; Metazoa; Arthropoda; Arachnida; Trombidiformes; Tetranychidae
Exons: 2
Source: RefSeq, a predicted model, not a curated record
AAUCAAAAUAUGACCUGAAGUUUGUUGUUGAUCAUCAUCAGGAAUAAAUAUCCAAUUGGUUUUUGGUGGUCAUUCAUAAUGACCUCAACCUUUAGUCCUGCCUUAAUUGUGUGUGGUUAGUUUAUUUAGCAAAGUAUAUAAGAUGAAAUGAUUUAGUUGUAAAUUAUCACAUUUCAUUUGAAUCUUUUCAUCAAGCAACAAGUGGUUUCAUUAACGAAGAAUCUUCUUAAUCAUCAUGUUUUCAAAGAUUUUAAUCAUCUCCCUUAUUCUUGCUGCCACUCUUUUGGUGACUGAAGCCACAUUGAAGAUCACUCUCCAUAAGAAACACAUCAGUUUACCAAUUCCAACCAAAGUUUCAUUGGGUUUAAUUGGUCAUGAUGAUUGGUGGAGUCAACCAUCAUGGUCAUCAUGGCCUUCAUGGCCUUCAUGGGGAUGGGGAUGGGAAGACAAUAGCUGGUGGUAAAUCAUCAACAUCAACAUCAACA